Molecule: ribosomal RNA, 253 nt
Filed under: uncultured bacterium
Lineage: Bacteria
Description: partial 16S ribosomal RNA
Rfam family: Bacterial small subunit ribosomal RNA
Source: RNAcentral
UACGUAGGGUGCAAGCGUUAAUCGGAAUUACUGGGCGUAAAGCGUGCGCAGGCGGCUUUGCAAGACAGAUGUGAAAUCCCCGGGCUUAACCUGGGAACUGCAUUUGUGACUGCAUGGCUGGAGUGUGGCAGAGGGGGGUGGAAUUCCGCGUGUAGCAGUGAAAUGCGUAGAGAUGCGGAGGAACACCGAUGGCGAAGGCAGCCCCCUGGGCUAGCACUGACGCUCAGGCACGAAAGCGUGGGGAGCAAACAGG